UCUGCAUGGGGGCACCCUGACCGCCUGCCGCGUGAGUGAUGAAGGCCUUCGGGUUGUAAAGCUCUUUUGGCGGGGACGAUGAUGACGGUACCCGCAGAAUAAGCCCCGGCUAACUUCGUGCCAGCAGCCGCGGUAAGACGAAGGGGGCUAGCGUUGUUCGGAAUUACUGGGCGUAAAGCGCGUGUAGGCGGUUUUCCAAGUUGGGUGUGAAAGCCUUGGGCUUAACCCAAGAAAUGCACUCAGUACUGGAAGACUAGAGGACCGGAGAGGAUAGUGGAAUUCCCAGUGUAGUGGUGAAAUACGUAGAGAUUGGGAAGAACACCAGUGGCGAAGGCGGCUAUCUGGACGGUUUCUGACGCUAAGACGCGAAA
This 371-nucleotide ribosomal RNA is filed under the name uncultured bacterium. Its description in RNAcentral is "bacterial SSU rRNA". It matches the Rfam family "Bacterial small subunit ribosomal RNA", at positions 365 to 758 of the family's 1533-position model. The record is from RNAcentral.